RNAcentral lists this ribosomal RNA (735 nucleotides) under Vibrio sp. MV-5. Its description in RNAcentral is "partial 16S ribosomal RNA". The record is from RNAcentral. Lineage: Bacteria; Pseudomonadati; Pseudomonadota; Gammaproteobacteria; Vibrionales; Vibrionaceae.
GUGGGGUCAGGGGCUGAGCAGCCACGGUAUAGAUGGUGUUGUUGUNCNUUGGGGUAACGUGGGGGGUGUGUGUGCUGGGAGUGCCAGUGAUGGGGAUAACGUUGGAUUGCUGUAUACCGUAUACGCCUACGGGGGAGGGUGGGCCUUCGGGCUNGCNGGUUGGUAUGCCCGGGUGGGUUUAGCUUGUUUNGUGUGGGGUAAGUGCNCUCACCACGNGCACCAUNCCCUAGGCUGNUUCUGAGCAGGGAUGAUCAGCCCACANGUGGAAACUGAACACACGUCCCCAAACUCCCUACGGGGAGGACACCACGGGGGGAAAUAUUGCANAAUGGNGCAAACCUUAUGCACCCAAUANCGGGGGUGGUGUAAAGCGAAAGGGCCUUUCGGGGGUUGUAAAACCCACUUUNUCAAGCGAGAGCGAAGGGAAAAGGUCAGAAACCCUAAAUAAUCUUGCUUGGGGUUUUUUACCAUGUUUCCNUCGCAAGAACACAAACACGCNCCCGGCUUAAACCUUCCGUUCCCCAAGCCAAGCCUCGGGCGGGGAAAAUAACGGGAGGGUGCCAANCCGUUUUAAUUCGGGAAAAUUAACAUUGGNCCGUUAAAAACGCCNACNCCGCGGGCGGGNUGUGGGCAUCACAUUAAAAAUUUUNAAAACCCCCCGGCCUCAAACCUGGGANAUUUNCACUUUAUAAAAAACUUUNUCCGGUAGAGUUUUUUGUAAAAGGGGGGGGGAAA